GCGGGUAUCUUAGUUUUAUUGAAAAAAGUUUCAUUGCAGUAUCACUGGAAGGCUUACAGAGGUUAGAGUCGUAAGGGAAGGUAGGCGGGCUUACGGGGUGCUCUCCUUCUUAAAUAAGCGUAGGUUGUAAGGACUGAAUUUAUCCUAAACAUCUUGUCUUCGCUUCCAGUAAUAGCUCAAGCUUAUGUAUGCACUGAAAGUAGAGAUGGCUGAUGAAGAGUGCCGCCCUAUCGUCGUCACUGCCAUAAAAUUCUUUUUUUGAAUAACAGUGUGUCAUAUAGACACAUUCUGAAGAUCACCUAACGUCGGAUAAUGCGAAGUGUAAAGUAAAUGAUGGAGUCUAUCAAGAAACUACUGCAAAUUUUUUUCUAUGAAAACCGCUGACGGAGCAACGUGAGAUUCAUUUAGCACGUGGUAAAGUACUAAGGAAACAUUUUAUGUCCCCAUGCUCGGUUCUUAUUUCUUCAAUUAAUGACGUUAAAGUCUAUGCUGUCAACACUUCAAAAACUUUACCAGAAUGGAUCACAGAUAAAAAAAAAAGAAAGCUUUUAAAAAGCGAUCCGGAAUUAAGAGGGAGAGUGAAUUUAAUACAAGAUUUUGAGUUUCCAACUGCCGCUACAAAUAUAAAUAUUACAGAAGAUGGAAAUUAUAUCCUAGCCACAGGGGUUUAUAAGCCUCGAAUAAAUUGCUAUGAGACGGAUCAGUUAAGUUUAAAGUUUUCCCGUCAUCUUUCCGCUGAUGUUGUUAAACUUUGCAUGCUAGUUGAAGACUAUAGGAAGUUAGCAUUACUUGGGAGCGAUCGUACCAUUGAAGUUCAUGCUGCUUACGGAAGUCACUAUAAAACAAGAAUUCCUAGAUUUGGGCGAGAUCUUUGCUAUAAUUUUGAAAAUUGUGACUUGUUUUCGGUGGCUUCUGGGCCAGAAAUUUACCGACUUAAUCUUGACGAGGGAAUCUUUAAGCAGCCUUAUAAAGGCUUUU
Long non-coding RNA from Zophobas morio, 978 nucleotides. RefSeq lists it as uncharacterized. The transcript is spliced from 6 exons. The record is from RefSeq and is a predicted model, not a curated record. Lineage: Eukaryota; Metazoa; Arthropoda; Insecta; Coleoptera; Tenebrionidae.